Molecule: long non-coding RNA, 1336 nt
Filed under: Gopherus agassizii (Agassiz's desert tortoise)
Lineage: Eukaryota; Metazoa; Chordata; Testudines; Testudinidae
Description: lncRNA (ENSGAGG00000000391.1)
Source: RNAcentral
UAUUGAGAAUUUAUCUUGUUUCCCAAAAAGAAGGAUAUGAGGAAUGUUCUUCACCCUUUAUUAAGGAUUAAUUUUUAAAGGCACUUACUGCAUUCUCUCAUUAGUAUGCAAGUGUAAUCACACAGAACUGUCCUACAUUAAUACCAUUUGCAGGAAAGAAUUCUAUCAACUGAUACUUUAAAAAAAAGUCAGUUGUGAUCAUCCUUAGAACUCCCCAGUCCCUCAUUAUCAAAACAAAUGUUUGCCUGGGCUUCAGCUGUGUAAACUCUAAAUCUGCUCCUUCUUUGAGGAAUCUGUACAGUACACAUGGUAAAUCUUCCUUACUCCCUGGGCUUAUUUUGUGUGGAAUAGUGAUUAAGUACUGGAACAGCAUGGUGCUUCCUUUACAUUUCUGAUGUUAAUACCUUCCUUGCAGAGCUGGUAUGAGGGCCUGACACCAGCUACUUGCCUAGGUAAGAGUGAAUGCUCAGGUUAUUUUGCUUCACAGCUUUAAAAUAGGUCUCCAGAUAGUUUUUGUUCUUGCUGCACUAACCUCCACAACAAAUAUUUUAAGCUUUUGUGUUUAAAAAAUAACUCAAGUAAUCAGAUAUGCAAAUUGUGUGUUCCGUUAUUCAGCAGAAGUUCUAUUGGUAAUUGAAUGAGAGUCUGUGUUUUAAUUUCUCUCUCAUUGUUCUAUUUGAACCAGUCUGGCAGUGUAUAUUAGUGCCAUUUCCUCAUACUUAAACACUUGAAACAUGUAAAUGUACCAUCUUAUUCAUACAGCAAUAAUUGUGCAGUUCAUAAUAUCUUUGUGUUACCAGGAUAUGAGCUGAAAAAACUCUUACAAAAGGUUAGUUAUAAAUUAAUGUCGGCAUUCAUCUGUAACUCUGGAAGUGUGUAAGAGGCAUUAGUCAUAUCUCUACCCUGUAUUAUGUUUCCUUUGUAAGCCUCAAAAGGCUUCGAGAUGAAAUGCCUGUGUCAUGUAGAAUUUGUUCUUGACACUAGUUAAUGUAAAAUUGGACAUUGUGGGUUUAUUGCAGUUUGGGAAGACUUCAGAUACAGUGUGUUCUUGGAUUUAUUUUCUAGACUUGUAUGUAUCAAAUUCUAUAGAGAUUCAGGAAAAUAUGUUAAGUAAAGGAGUAAAUAUCAGUGUGUUAUUAAACCAUGUAACAGCUGCACAUCAUCCCUGUUGAGAACUAUACCUAUACAAUGGCACCAUUACCUCUAUUCAUUCUGUCUUUCCCUGAGUAUUGUGGAACUGUAUUGGUGAAAGCAUUUAUUAUGCUUAAAGAGUCUCCAUAAAUUUUAUUGGAGUUGUCAGUACUAUACUUGAAUUUACAUUAAACUUACAAACCUG